Molecule: long non-coding RNA, 607 nt
Filed under: Marmota monax (woodchuck)
Lineage: Eukaryota; Metazoa; Chordata; Mammalia; Rodentia; Sciuridae
Source: RNAcentral
CCCUGCUGCCGGCGAUGGGCGUGGCCAUUAGGUAAGGGGGGCAGGGAGGAGGAGCUGGCUGCAGAAGACCCAGGGGUUUCGGAUCACUCCAUCACGAUUCCAGUAGCAACUCCUCGGUCCUGGUGGCAUGCAUAGCGGGGCACAGUCCUACUGCCACCCCACAUGACAGCCAAGCACUGUCGUUAUGCCUGCUGAGCAAAGCCAAGAUUGAACCCCAAGACACUUGGCCCCUGCCCACGGUCACGCUUGGCCCCUCCUUUUAUUACUGAGAGCCCCAAUCCGGACCAGUAUGCGGGGCUUGGGUGGCAGCUGGACCCUCCUGCUGCCCUCUUCGCUUCUGAGGCCAGAGCAGGGUGCCGGGUCCCACGGUGCCCGGUCCCACGGUGCUGGGCACAGGAGAACCCUGGAGACACAGCCUCUCAUUCCCUCAGGCCCCACACGGUGGCGGUGCCGCACAGAGAGAGGUGCACUGCUCCAGCCAGUGGGGAGUCCCCACCCCACUCGCCACCCGCCUGCCACAGCCCUCAGCAUCUGUGCACCUCUCUCUUAAUCUACAAAGCGGGGGUGACAGUAGGUCCUACCGCGUGAGAUGUGGAGGAGAUUAGCU